UGCACUACUUGAGAGUGGCGAACGGGUGAGUAACACGUAGGUGAUCUAUCUUUGGAUUGGGGAUAGCCUGUGGAAACACAGGGUAAUACCGGAUACGACCUGGGAGCUGUGGCUUCCGGGGGAAAGGCCCUAAGGGGUCGUCCGAAGCUGAGCCUGCGGUCCAUUAGCUAGUUGGUGUGGUAAAGGCGCACCAAGGCGACGAUGGAUAGCCGGCCUGAGAGGGUGCUCGGCCACACUGGGACUGAGACACGGCCCAGACUCCUACGGGAGGCAGCAGCUAAGAAUCUUCCGCAAUGGGCGAAAGCCUGACGGAGCGACGCCGCGUGAACGAUGAAGGCCGUGAGGUUGUAAAGUUCUUUUCCUGGGGGAGAAUAACGGCCGGAGGGAAUGCCGGUUGGAUGACGUGAACCAGGGAAUAAGCCCCGGCUAAUUACGUGCCAGCAGCCGCGGUAACACGUAAGGGGCAAGCGCUGUUCGGAUUUAUUGGGCGUAAAGGGCGUGUAGGCGGUAGUGCAAGUCUGGUGUGAAAUACCCCGGCUCAACCGGGGAGACGCGCUGGAAACUGUGCUGCUUGAGUUUAGGAGGGGGAGCUGGAAUUCCUGGUGUAGGGGUGAAAUCUGUAGAGAUCAGGAAGAACACCGGUGGCGAAGGCGAGCUCCUGGCCAUAGACUGACGCUGAGGCGCGAAAGCGUGGGGAGCGAACAGGAUUAGAUACCCUGGUAGUCCACGCUGUAAACGAUGUGCACUAAGUGUCGGGACUGAUGAAAGUCUCGGUGCCGUAGCUAACGCGGUAAGUGCACCGCCUGGGGAGUGUGCUCGCAAGGGUGAAACUCAAAGGAAUUGACGGGGGCCCGCACAAGCGGUGGAGCAUGUGGUUUAAUUCGAUGAUACGCGAGAAACCUUACCAGGGCUUGACAUGACCGUGACGGCUGUAGAGA
Molecule: ribosomal RNA, 938 nt
Filed under: uncultured bacterium
Lineage: Bacteria
Description: bacterial SSU rRNA
Rfam family: Bacterial small subunit ribosomal RNA
Source: RNAcentral